CCUUGGGGUUGAUGGGACUGGUGGGGCCGUUGCUAUUGUUCCCCCGCAGAGUAUCUGCCAAACCAAAUGGGAGAAACUCAGAGAAAGCCAGGGCCUGGUAUCCAGGGGCUCCAGCUUGGUCAUUGCUCAAAAGCCUCCUUUUGAAUGUCCACUCUUAAGGAAGCCAAGUGGGAAGAUCCUUGCUGGUUUCUCCCUCUGAGGAAGAAGGAAAAUGCCAUGACUCCCACUAUGGCCUCUCUUGGAACCAUAUUUUGAGGAUCUGGGAGAAUACAGCAACUUAAUACACCAAUGAAUUCAU
Molecule: long non-coding RNA, 298 nt
Filed under: Homo sapiens (human)
Lineage: Eukaryota; Metazoa; Chordata; Mammalia; Primates; Hominidae
Description: non-protein coding lnc-SLC39A11-10:4
Source: RNAcentral